UACAGAGGGUGCAAGCGUUAAUCGGAGUUACUGGGCGUAAAGGGCGCGUAGGCGGAUAUUUAAGUCGGAUGUGAAAUCCCUGGGCUCAACCUAGGAAUUGCAUUCGAUACUGAAUAUCUAGAGUAUGGUAGAGGAAAGCGGAAUUCCCGGUGUAGUGGUAAAAUACGUAGAUAUCGGGAAGAACACCAGUGGCGAAGGCGGCUUUCUGGCCCAAUACUGACGCUGAGGCGCGAAAGCGUGGGGAGCAAACAGG
RNAcentral lists this ribosomal RNA (253 nucleotides) under uncultured bacterium. RNAcentral's name for it is "partial 16S ribosomal RNA". It matches the Rfam family "Bacterial small subunit ribosomal RNA", at positions 524 to 776 of the family's 1533-position model. The record is from RNAcentral.